This is a long non-coding RNA of Panthera uncia (snow leopard), 293 nucleotides long. RefSeq lists it as uncharacterized. The record is from RefSeq and is a predicted model, not a curated record. NCBI's taxonomy places the organism in Eukaryota, Metazoa, Chordata, Mammalia, Carnivora, Felidae. The transcript has 2 exons.
CCGCCCCGCGUCGCCCCGCAGGAAGUUCAUGAGCACGGUCUCCGCCAUGUCGUCGGCGUUGUGGCCUGGGGGAGAGAGACGGGGAGCCGUUGCUUUUUCAGGAGGGUCAGUCUCAGUUGAAGGUGUACGUCACACGUCACACGGCACCGGCACCGGAGAAGUCAAAGCGGCCUCUAACGGUCAGUGGAGGUGUUGCCGUCCCAGUGCGGGGAAUGCGGUCACCGCGUGCAGGAAGGCCAGCGAGAGCUUCGGUAUUUCCUCAACAGUCACCAUAAACGUCACCUAAACGUCUA